This 219-nucleotide long non-coding RNA is filed under the name Sorghum bicolor (sorghum). RNAcentral's name for it is "long non-coding RNA (SBIC_LNC004682)". Lineage: Eukaryota; Viridiplantae; Streptophyta; Magnoliopsida; Poales; Poaceae. The record is from RNAcentral.
GAUUAGGAGUAGAAUAUUUUUGGGUGGUUCUGGAGAUGGAAAUGGGUGAAGAUAUGUGGAUGCGUACUUCCGGAGAAGAAGUAGAAUGUAUGAGUGAACGUGCAAGUGAAUCUUGAUUUAACCACAUAACAAGCUCCUAAGGGUCUACACAGCUUGACCACACUCAAUGCUCAUAAGCAGUAAAAAGUAAAUGUGUGGCUCAAAGUCUAGCAAGCAUGA